RNAcentral lists this ribosomal RNA (450 nucleotides) under uncultured bacterium. RNAcentral describes it as "partial 16S ribosomal RNA". It matches the Rfam family "Bacterial small subunit ribosomal RNA", at positions 354 to 796 of the family's 1533-position model. The record is from RNAcentral.
GUGGGUAAUCUUCCGCAAUGGACGAAAGUCUGACGGAGCAACGCCGCGUGAGUGAAGAAGGUUUUCGGAUCGUAAAGCUCUUUCGUUAGGGACGAACGUGCUCUUUGUGAAUAAUGAGGAGUAAUGACGGUACCUAAAUAAGAAGCCACGGCUAACUACGUGCCAGCAGCCGCGGUAAUACGGAGGUGGCAAGCGUUGUCCGGAAUUAUUGGGCGUAAAGCGCGCGCAGGCGGGAUAUCAAGUCUGUCUUAAAAGUGCGAGGCUCAACCUCGUGAGGGGACAGAAAGUUGUAUUGUUGAGUGUCGGAGAGGAAAGUGGAAUUCCAAGUGUAGCGGUGAAAUGCGUAGAGAUUUGGAAGAACACCAGUGGCGAAGGCGACUUUCUGGACGAUGUCUGACGCUGAGGCGCGAAAGCUAGGGGAGCGAACGGGAUUAGAUACCCUUGUAGUCC